UACGAAGGGUGCAAGCGUUACUCGGAAUUACUGGGCGUAAAGCGUGCGUAGGUGGUUUGUUAAGUCUGAUGUGAAAGCCCUGGGCUCAACCUGGGAAUGGCAUUGGAAACUGGCUGACUAGAGUGCGGUAGAGGGUAGUGGAAUUCCCGGUGUAGCAGUGAAAUGCGUAGAUAUCGGGAGGAACAUCUGUGGCGAAGGCGACUACCUGGACCAGCACUGACACUGAGGCACGAAAGCGUGGGGAGCAAACGGG
Molecule: ribosomal RNA, 253 nt
Filed under: uncultured bacterium
Lineage: Bacteria
Description: partial 16S ribosomal RNA
Rfam family: Bacterial small subunit ribosomal RNA
Source: RNAcentral